Molecule: ribosomal RNA, 492 nt
Filed under: uncultured bacterium
Lineage: Bacteria
Description: partial 16S ribosomal RNA
Rfam family: Bacterial small subunit ribosomal RNA
Source: RNAcentral
AGUGAACGCUGGCGGUAGGCCUAACACAUGCAAGUCGAACGGCAGCACAGUAAGAGCUUGCUCUUACGGGUGGCGAGUGGCGGACGGGUGAGGAAUACAUCGGAAUCUACUUUUUCGUGGGGGAUAACGUAGGGAAACUUACGCUAAUACCGCAUACGACCUACGGGUGAAAGCAGGGGAUCUUCGGACCUUGCGCGAUUGAAUGAGCCGAUGUCGGAUUAGCUAGUUGGCGGGGUAAAGGCCCACCAAGGCGACGAUCCGUAGCUGGUCUGAGAGGAUGAUCAGCCACACUGGAACUGAGACACGGUCCAGACUCCUACGGGAGGCAGCAGUGGGGAAUAUUGCACAAUGGGCGAAAGCCUGAUCCAGCCAUACCGCGUGGGUGAAGAAGGCCUUCGGGUCGUAAAGCCCUUUUGUUGGGAAAGAAAAGCAGCAGGUUAAUACCCCGCUGUUCUGACGGUACCCAAAGAAUAAGCACCGGCUAACUUCGUG